AAAGAGGGGAACGUGAGGAGAAAGUACAAGGUCAGGAAGAAGCAGAGACUCAAAGACACACAAGACCCAGUAAAAGAGCCUGAGAGGAGUUCAGAAGCGCUCCCAUAAAAGAUGCAGGGACUGCAGAGAAGAUCUCCAUGACUCUGACAGAGAUUUCAGUUUUCAUGAAGAAAUAGGACAUGGAGCUUCAGCUGAGAACAGAGAAAGAGAGAGGAAGAGGCUGCCAUCACAGGGUUACGGUUGCAGAGGAGAAAUGAAGGGCAUGGCUUUUCAAGACUGCUAUGUCUGAAAAUGGUCUCUAUUUAUAAAGGCAAUUUCAGAACACCACAUUUUUGACUGUGGGAUGUUUAUGGACCCGGAAUCCAGAGAGUUAUCAUGGCGUGUGCAAAUUCUUUUACGUAGCCCAGCUUAAAUUUCACUCAGACCAAAACAGAAAUGCCAAAAAAACAGAGCUCCAUAUCUGCCUUUUUCACAGCUCCUCGGAGAGUUCUCAAUAAGAUGUGCACUUGUGAGCCACCAAACAUGGAUUCAGUGCAGCCUCUUUCAUCAUCAUACCGAAUUUCCCAGAGGAACCCACCCGAGGGAUUAAUAAAGUUUUAUCUUAUCUUAUCUGACUCAGCUACACCGACAGCCACAGCGUCAGGGAAAAAACGAGGGCGGAUUGUUGGUCUUGAAAACUUCGACUUUGAGCCCGUUUUAGUUGACGAGUGUAAAAUUAGAAAUGUGACUGAGAAGGAAACAGAAUUAUGGCAGGCACAUUCAGAAAACCAUUCAACUUUACAAAAUGUAUACUGUGAAUCUGAAGAAGAGAAGCCUGGAAAGUGUGAACCACCACAGAAUAAGAGGAGGGUCUCUGAUGCCACCUUUACACAAGAUGACAGUCAACCUCUACCACAGACGUGGAGUCAGGACCCUGUUCACUUUCAGUCAGUACACUGAAAAUGAGUUUCAUCAGACUAACCACAAAUGUACGACAGUCAAGAACUUCAGCAGCUCUGAGCCAAGUUUCCUAAACAGUCUGCAGUAUGAGGAGGACGAAGUCUUUAGAAAACUGAUAGCUGCAGAAGGACUAACCUCAACUCAAAAAUCUUUAAAACGCCUUCAUUCUUCUCAUAUGAUUAAUGAGAAGGAAAACGGGACGCCACUGUCUUAUAAUUCCCCAGGAAAAAUCUCCUGUUUCUCUCAUUUCAGACCUGUUUCAAAUCAUAAGCAGACACAACCAAAAACCGCUUCAUGUCGGAAACAAACAGGUAAGACUUUUUAAAAAAAAUCUUUUAUCAUGAGGGGCAGAGAAGAUGACAAGAACAGGAAAGACUGAACUAACAGUCUUUUAGUAUACUUUUUAUUACAAACCCUAACGAGCAGUAACUGAUUAUGUGUUGCUCUACACUUGUAGGAUGCAUCUAAAAGGCAUGCGGGGCAGAGGAGAUGAGCGGAAGAGGAAACAGAUAUGGAGGACAGAUAGCGCCAUCGAUAUGUUGCUCAUCAAUGACCAACAAUUAGCAGAAAUCUGGCAACGGACAGUUUGCAAAAAGACGGCAUUACACCCCAAGCCUCCACUGUCCCGGUAACAGCGGAUUACCAUGGAGAGUAAAGUUUUCAGUUGGUAAAGCAAAAAAAAAAAAAAAGUCAGAGGGCUGCCUCCUGCCCUGCCCUCUGACAUUUUUACUCUCCAUGGUAAUCCGCUUCUCCCCUCUCCCCCCUCGUCCUCACCUCCUUACCUGUGCCCCUCCCUUUAGGCAGGGAGGGGUCUAAAUUCAUUUCCCUGUUCAUAUUUCAGCCUCCCUUCUCCCCACUCACCCCUCCUCCUCACCUCCUCCUCAUCCCUCCUUCUCUCCCUUCCUUUGUGUGGAGUUUGGUGUGGAGUUUGGUGUGGAGAAAACCAAGUUUCCACUUGGUGGUGGAACCAGACAGUCAGGCAAGUUCAUGCUGCAAGGACCGUGCACGUCCUCCUGCCUUCAAAAGAGGGGGGAGGAGGACGUGAAUAGUUCAGCCUUCCUUCUCCCCCCUCACCCUCACCUCCUCACCUCCUCCUCAUCCCUCCUUCUCUCCCUUCCUUUGUGUGGAGUUUGGUGUGGAGAAAAACAAGUUUUCUCUUGUUGAGAACUUCCACUAAACAGUACCGGGAUAGACACAACACUUAAAAAGUUAACGGCUACGACAACGGGGAAAAAAUGUUUAAAAAGAAGCCUUACGGUGGAUCCGAUUCCUCCCACCCAAAUGUUAUUUAUGUGAAAAUAAAAAUGCCACCGCACACGUUUGCUUGAGGAAUCCAUCAGACCAGACCACCUCCAUUUUGUGAACCCACAGAACCCUCCCCAUCUGGCUCUCCCCUCCUCACCCCUCCUCCUCUCCCAUCCUCUGUGUGGAGAAAACCAUGUUUCAGAACUGUGGGAUGUUUAUGGACGCGGAAUCCAAAGAGUUGCCUUGCUCUCCCUCCUAGGUCAACAAAGGCACCCAUCUUGCACCAUGAACAACAGGAAGGCCUAACCCAGAAGAAGCCUAACAUGAAAAAACAACACGAUCUGUUACCUUGUACAGACUGGUGGAGAUUGGAGAUUUGAUCGAGGAGUGGCCAGAGACAAACGUUUUCUAGAGAGGCCCCUUUGAGAUGGCACCAUCCUGGGAGAAACGGAACCUGGGCCGCCGUCUCCAGCCCGACUCGUUGGACCAGAACCAGGCGGUGGUUAUAGCCAAGCUAGCAGACUGGAAUCCAGCUACCACAUCAGCAGUGACAAACCCAGUAAACAAGAAUGACAGCCACAGAACGACAGGUCUGCACUCCAACGAGAGACCCCAACACACAGAGGAAACUCCAGGACUGGAAUCUUCAUGUGAAGAAAAUAUCGGUGAUCAUCGGUGACUCCAAUGUGCACAGACUCCUCCGUCCUAUAAAGCAGAGGGGUACAGAUCGACAGAUUUCCAUGAGCGAAAUGUUGCCACCCGGUGAGGCCCAGCUGGAGAAAGCACCCUGUGGAAAAUCUGGUUUUAUAACUUUGGACUGAAUACCAGUGAUGGAGCUGAAAAUGGGACUAAAGGCAGAGCAGCCGCAUCGUGCCGCACAUGUGUGGACGAGGACAUGCCAGGAACAGGAAACACAAGAGAGUCAGCCACCCGAGCUUCACAGGGCCCGAAUCAGCUGAACCCAUAUUCAGCCCAACGCUGCCUCCAAAUCUCCUCGUCCUCUCCUCCGCCUGCUGGGACCAGUAGGCAGCACAUCGCCUGCUUCUGGGAGCUUUAGGCAGGAGCGACCAGGCUGCAUCGUGCCGCGUAUGUGUGCAACAGGACAUGCCAAGAACAGGAAACACAAGAGAGUCAGCCAUCCAAGCUUCACAGGGCAGAAAUCACCUCAACCCAUAUUCAGCCCACCGCUGCCUCCAAAUCUCCUCCUCCUCUCCUCCACCUCCUGGGACCAAUAGGCAGCACAUCUCCUGCUUCUGGGAGCUUUACGCAGCAGCGACCAGGUAAAGCAUGGUCUCCGUCGCCAGCUUGACCGCCAAGUCUUCUGGGAGGGGUACAGAGGACCGCAGAGAGGGAUGGACCGCGCACGCUCCUUUUCCUCCCGGAAAAGGGAUUAUGUUCCUCAUCCUUACCCUGAUUGAACCGAGUACUAGAGAGCUUCAUUUAUACAAACAAUUAUAAAAAAUUGCAAAAGGAAAACGUGAAAUAUUACUCUGGAACUUUACGAGAGCACAUCUUCCCUGAGCUGUCCACCAUGCUGAACGGCUCUAACCAAAUUAGGAACAUAGGUUUUUUUUUUUCAAAAGCAAAUGUUUUAAAAAAGAAAAGAACAGAAAAACAUAACUGAACACAACAGUAUGUCAGUGUACAGUGAGUGAUCAGGCAGUACAGUUUUAGGAA
Long non-coding RNA from Oreochromis niloticus (Nile tilapia), 3861 nucleotides. RefSeq lists it as uncharacterized. The record is from RefSeq and is a predicted model, not a curated record. Lineage: Eukaryota; Metazoa; Chordata; Actinopteri; Cichliformes; Cichlidae. The transcript has 7 exons.